Molecule: ribosomal RNA, 1378 nt
Filed under: metagenome
Description: bacterial LSU rRNA
Rfam family: Bacterial large subunit ribosomal RNA
Source: RNAcentral
CUAUACCGAGGCCAAUGAUCGAGCCAGCUUGCUGGUGAAGUGACUGAACGAGGUUCCAGGAAAAGCCACUAAGCUUCAGCUACACACGACCGUACCGCAAACCGACACUGGUGCGCGAGAUGAGUAUUCUAAGGCGCUUGAGAGAACUCAGGAGAAGGAACUCGGCAAAUUGACACCGUAACUUCGGAAGAAGGUGUGCCCUAUUAGUGUGAAGUGAACAACGGAGCAUGAAUGGGUUGCAAAAAAUCGGUGGCUGCGACUGUUUAUUAAAAACACAGCACUCUGCAAACACGAAAGUGGACGUAUAGGGUGUGACGCCUGCCCGGUGCUGGAAGAUUAAAUGAUGGGGUGCAAGCUCUUGAUUGAAGUCCCAGUAAACGGCGGCCGUAACAAUAACGGUCCUAAGGUAGCGAAAUUCCUUGUCGGGUAAGUUCCGACCUGCACGAAUGGCGUAACGAUGGCCACACUGUCUCCUCCUGAGACUCAGCGAAGUUGAAAUGUUUGUGAUGAUGCAAUCUCCCCGCGGAAAGACGGAAAGACCCCAUGAACCUUUACUGUAGCUUUGUAUUGGACUUUGAACAGAUCUGUGUAGGAUAGGUGGGAGGCUUUGAAGCAGGGUCGCUAGAUCUUGUGGAGCCAACGUUGAAAUACCACCCUGGUGUGUUUGAGGUUCUAACCUAGGUCCAUUAUCUGGAUCGGGGACAGUGCAUGGUAGGCAGUUUGACUGGGGCGGUCUCCUCCCAAAGCGUAACGGAGGAGUUCGAAGGUACGCUAGUUACGGUCGGACAUCGUGACGAUAGUGCAAUGGCAUAAGCGUGCUUAACUGCGAGACUGACAAGUCGAGCAGAUGCGAAAGCAGGACAUAGUGAUCCGGUGGUUCUGUAUGGAAGGGCCAUCGCUCAACGGAUAAAAGGUACUCUGGGGAUAACAGGCUGAUACCGCCCAAGAGUUCAUAUCGACGGCGGUGUUUGGCACCUCGAUGUCGGCUCAUCUCAUCCUGGGGCUGUAGCCGGUCCCAAGGGUAUGGCUGUUCGCCAUUUAAAGAGGUACGUGAGCUGGGUUUAAAACGUCGUGAGACAGUUUGGUCCCUAUCUUCCGUGGGCGCUGCAGAUUUGAGGAAGCCUGCUCCUAGUACGAGAGGACCGGAGUGGACACACCUCUGGCGUAUCGGUUGUCACGCCAGUGGCAUUGCCGAGUAGCUAAGUGUGGAAGAGAUAACCGCUGAAAGCAUCUAAGCGGGAAACUCGUUUCAAGAUGAGAUCUGCCGGGGCCUCGAGCCCCCUGAAGAGUCGUUCAAGACCAGGACGUUGAUAGGUCGGGUGUGGAAGCGCAGUAAUGCGUUAAGCUAACCGAUACUAAUUGCUCGUGCGGCUUGACC